AGCAAGCAGAUCUCCUUCGGGAGUGACGCUUGUGGAACGAGCGGCGGACGGGUGAGUAACACGUGGGCAACCUACCUGUAAGACUGGGAUAACUCCGGGAAACCGGGGCUAAUACCGGAUGAAACAAAGCGUCGCAUGACGCAAUGUUAAAAGGCGGCAUAUGCUGUCACUUACAGAUGGGCCCGCGGCGCAUUAGCUAGUUGGUGAGGUAAAGGCUCACCAAGGCAACGAUGCGUAGCCGACCUGAGAGGGUGAUCGGCCACACUGGGACUGAGACACGGCCCAGACUCCUACGGGAGGCAGCAGUAGGGAAUCUUCCGCAAUGGACGAAAGUCUGACGGAGCAACGCCGCGUGAGUGAUGAAGGUUUUCGGAUCGUAAAACUCUGUUGUUAGGGAAGAACAAGUGCCAUUCAAAUAGGUUGGCACCUUGACGGUACCUAACCAGAAAGCCCCGGCUAACUACGUGCCAGCAGCCGCGGUAAUACGUAGGGGGCAAGCGUUGUCCGGAAUUAUUGGGCGUAAAGCGCGCGCAGGCGGUCCUUUAAGUCUGAUGUGAAAGCCCACGGCUUAACCGUGGAGGGCCAUUGGAAACUGGAGGACUUGAGUACAGAAGAGGAGAGUGGAAUUCCACGUGUAGCGGUGAAAUGCGUAGAGAUGUGGAGGAACACCAGUGGCGAAUGCGACUCUCUGGUCUGUAACUGACGCUGAUGUGCGAAAGCGUGAGUAGCGAACAGGAUUAGAUACCCUGGUAGUCCACGCCGU
This 763-nucleotide ribosomal RNA is filed under the name Virgibacillus dokdonensis. RNAcentral describes it as "bacterial SSU rRNA". It matches the Rfam family "Bacterial small subunit ribosomal RNA", at positions 56 to 803 of the family's 1533-position model. Lineage: Bacteria; Bacillati; Bacillota; Bacilli; Caryophanales; Bacillaceae. The record is from RNAcentral.